UCUCUGGAAGGUUUUGCUGGUGUUUAGGAAGAUCUGGUGGGAAUGGACCGCAGUGAUAAAAGCCAUUACUGCUUCAUUUUACUGCCCACUAGUCCUUAAUUUUUCUUCCCUAGGCAACAGAAAGCACAGUUGCUAAUACCAGGGAUCAAGGUAUUAAUGGAUUUCAACUGAGUUGUGACGAUGGACUGGAUGUACCUUAUCAGUGUGAUUUACAGUCUUCUAGAGAAGCUUGGGGAAGUAUGAAACACAGAUGCAGCUCUCACUGGCCAACUAGACAGUAAAUAGAAGAAUGAUAUUUUGCCUACCAUCAUUCAGGUGACAUCAUGGACAGUAUAUACAGCUGGGGAAGAAGGAAGUGGGGGACAACUGGAGAGAUGGCUUUUUUCUUCCCAGGCCUUUACACGUGAUGGAGACCUGCUCUCCCAGAGAUGGCUGAACACUUGCCCAUGGGAACGACAAAACAUGUGGACUAAUUACCAUUACAGAAGCCAUUAUUUGUGUCAGUUAGAAGAAUAAAAAGAAGUAAAAGGGGGAGACACAAUGAAGGUCUUCUUAACCUUUAAAUCACACCUAGCCUAUCUUCAUGGAAUAAGUUUGAACUAUGAAGAGGAAGCGUAUUGGAGGAAAAGAACAAAUACAAAUGACUUAUGACAAGGAACAUCAAAGCUCUUGAACUGUGCUAAAAGUCUGGCUUUCAAUGCCUGUACAAAAAAGAUUACUUUCCUUCCUACA
Passer domesticus (house sparrow) is the source of this 732-nucleotide long non-coding RNA. RefSeq lists it as uncharacterized. The transcript is spliced from 5 exons. NCBI's taxonomy places the organism in Eukaryota, Metazoa, Chordata, Aves, Passeriformes, Passeridae. The record is from RefSeq and is a predicted model, not a curated record.